UCAAAUCAGGUAGGACUACCC
This 21-nucleotide ribosomal RNA is filed under the name uncultured Cortinarius. RNAcentral's name for it is "partial 28S ribosomal RNA". The record is from RNAcentral. Lineage: Eukaryota; Fungi; Basidiomycota; Agaricomycetes; Agaricales; Cortinariaceae.